This 460-nucleotide ribosomal RNA is filed under the name uncultured bacterium. RNAcentral describes it as "partial 16S ribosomal RNA". It matches the Rfam family "Bacterial small subunit ribosomal RNA", at positions 338 to 795 of the family's 1533-position model. The record is from RNAcentral.
CCUACGGGAGGCUGCAGUGAGGAAUAUUGGUCAAUGGACGAGAGUCUGAACCAGCCAAGUAGCGUGAAGGAUGACUGCCCUAUGGGUUGUAAACUUCUUUUAUAUGGGAAUAAAAUGUUCCACGUGUGGGAGUUUGUAUGUACCAUAUGAAUAAGGAUCGGCUAACUCCGUGCCAGCAGCCGCGGUAAUACGGAGGAUCCGAGCGUUAUCCGGAUUUAUUGGGUUUAAAGGGAGCGUAGGUGGAUUGUUAAGUCAGUUGUGAAAGUUUGCGGCUCAACCGUAAAAUUGCAGUUGAAACUGGCAGUCUUGAGUACAGUAGAGGUGGGCGGAAUUCGUGGUGUAGCGGUGAAAUUCUUCGAUCUCACGAAGAACUCCGAUUGCGAAGGCAGCUCACUGGACUGCACCUGACACUGAGGCUCGAAAGUGUGGGUAUCAAACAGGAUUAGCUACCCGAGUAGUC